GAGUUUGAUCCUGGCUCAGAUUGAACGCUGGCGGCAUGCCUUACACAUGCAAGUCGAACGGCAGCACGGGAGUAAUCCUGGUGGCGAGUGGCGAACGGGUGAGUAACAUAUCGGAACGUGCCCAGUGAUGGGGGAUAGCCCGGCGAAAGCCGGAUUAAUACCGCAUACGACCUACGGGUGAAAGCAGGGGAUCGCAAGACCUUGCGUCAUUGGAGCGGCCGAUAUCAGAUUAGCUUGUUGGUGGGGUAAAAGCCCACCAAGGCGACGAUCUGUAGCUGGUCUGAGAGGACGACCAGCCACACUGGGACUGAGACACGGCCCAGACUCCUACGGGAGGCAGCAGUGGGGAAUAUUGGACAAUGGGCGGAAGCCUGAUCCAGCAACGCCGCGUGAGGGAUGACGGCCUCGGUUG
This 412-nucleotide ribosomal RNA is filed under the name uncultured Gammaproteobacteria bacterium. RNAcentral's name for it is "bacterial SSU rRNA". It matches the Rfam family "Bacterial small subunit ribosomal RNA", at positions 9 to 425 of the family's 1533-position model. Lineage: Bacteria; Pseudomonadati; Pseudomonadota; Gammaproteobacteria. The record is from RNAcentral.